UCGCCAUUCGUUUAGUCCCAUUGCGGUUCGUUUCUCUUUCAAGCUUCAAAACUAUAUUUCUCUCAAGUAUCAGAACCAUCUCUAACGUAGAAAAAAUCGCCAUCGGUGAAACUGUGCGGUCUGUUCCAACGAAUAAUACUACUUCCGACAAAGGACAACUAUUUCAGAUGAUAUAGCGGAAUCUCAUAUGUAGGUACUUUAAGAGUACUCUCACUUGACUCUUUUGCCCUCAUCCCUGCUGUUCCUUCAGUGAAUUCAAAAGGGUCGUGCAUUUUGGGGACAAAGUUAUUCUCGAGGAUCUAAUCUAGAAUCAACUUUUGAAUUCAAUUAGUAGUAUUCUACUUCAAUUUAUACUAUAAUAUGCUGAUGCAUGAGUUUAAUUCUUAAUGAACAGUUUAUCUUUCUUAUUUACAUAUGAAAAUUCCUGGCUACUUUCACGGUUUAGGAUGAUGGAAUAAUGGAUGUGUUAGAAAAUUCCUGGCUACUUUUAGACUGUAAGUUGUCCUUUGCUUUUUUUCUUAUUUCGUUUCAUGUUUUUCCUAUUUGUUUUCCCUUUGACUGGAAAAAAAAGUUAAGAUUUUACAGUUUGA
This is a long non-coding RNA of Nicotiana tabacum (common tobacco), 590 nucleotides long. RefSeq lists it as uncharacterized. The record is from RefSeq and is a predicted model, not a curated record. NCBI's taxonomy places the organism in Eukaryota, Viridiplantae, Streptophyta, Magnoliopsida, Solanales, Solanaceae.